CCUGCUUGAUCCUGCUAGUAGUCAUAUAUUUGUCUCAAAGAUUAAGCCGUGCAUGUGUAAGUAUGAACAAAUUCAUACUGUGAAACUGCGAAUGGUUCAUUAAAUUAGUUAUAGUUUGUUUGAUAGUAUCUACUACUCGGAUAACUGUAGUAAUUCUAGAGCUAAUAUGUGAAACAAACCCCGACUUCUGGAAUGGAUGCAUUUAUUAGAUAAAAGGUCGAUGCAGGAUCUGCUUGUUGCUGUGAUGAUUUAUGAUAACUCGAUGGACCGUACGGCCAUCGUGCCGGCGAUGCAUCAUUCAAAUUUUUAUCCUAUCAAGUUUUGAUGGUAGGAUAAUGGCCUACCAUGGUGGUGAGGGGUAACGGAGAAUUAGGGUUUAAUUUCGGAGAGGGAGCCUGAGAAACGGCUACCAUAUCCAAGGAAGGUAGGAGGCGCGCAAAUUACCCAAUCUUGACACGGGGAGGUAGUGACGAUAAAUAAUAAUAUCGAGCUCAAUGAGUCUGGUAAUUGGAAUGAAUACAAUCUAAAUCCCUUAACGAGGAUCUAUCGGAGGGAGAGUCUGGUGCUAGCAGCCACGGUAAUUCCAGCACCAAUAACGUAUAUUUAAGUUGUUUCAGUUAAAAAGCUCGAAGUUGGACUUUGGGAUUGACCGGCCGGUCUACCUAUGGUGUGCAUUGGUCAUCUCGUCCCUUCUGUUGGGUUGUGCCUCCAGCGCUGUUACUUUGAAGAAAUUAGAGUGCUUAAAGCAAGCCUACGCUCUGUAUACAUUAGUAUGGGAUAACAUUAUAGGAUUUUGGUCCUAUUAUGUUGGCCUUUGGGAUCGGAGUAAUGAUUAACAGGGACAGUCGGGGGCAUUUGUAUUUCAUAGUCAGAGGUGAAAUUAUUGGAUUUAUGAAAUACGAAGAACUGCAAAAGCAUUUUCCAAGUAUGUUUUCAUUAAUCAAGAAUGAAAGUUGGGGGAUCGAAGGCAGUCAGAUACCGUCCUAGUCUCAACCAUAAACAAUGCCGACCAGGGAUCGGCGGAUGUUGCUUUUAGGACUUCGUCGGCACCUUAUGAGAAAUCAAAGUUUUUGGGUUCCGGGGGGAGUAUGGUCGCAAGGCUGAAACUUAAAGGAAUUGAUGGAAGGGCACCACCAGGAGUGGAGCCUACGGCCUAAUUUGACUCAACAUGGGGAAACUUACUAGGUCCAUACAUAGUAAGGAUUGACAAACCGUGAGCUCUUUCUUGAUUCUAUGGGUGGUGGUGCAUGGCCGUUCUUAGUUUGUGGAGCGAUUUGUCUGGUUAAUUCUAUUAAUGAACGAGACCUCAGCCUGCUAACUAGCUAUACGGAGGUAUCCCUUCGCGGCCAGUUUCUUAGAAGGACUGCAACCUUUUAGGCCGCGGAAGUUUGAGGCAAUAACAGGUCUGUGAUGCCCUUAGAUGUUCUUGGCCGCACGCGCACUACACUGAUGCAUUCAACGAGUUUAUAGCCUUCGCCGACAGGCCCGGAUAACCUUUGAAAUUUUAUCAUGAUGGGGAUAGAUCAUUGCAAUUGUUGGUAUUCAAUGAGGAAUUCCUAGUAAGCGCGAGUCAUCAGCUCACGUUGACUAUGUCCCUGUAUUUUGUACACACCGCCUGUCCCUCCUACCGAUUGAAUGAUCUGGUGAAAUAUUUGGAUUGCGAUGAUGUGGGUGGUUCGUAGCCCGUGACAUCUCGAGAAGUACAUUGAACCUUAUCAUUUAGAGGAAGGAGAAUUCGUAACAAGGUUUGCGUAGGUGAACUUGCGGAAG
RNAcentral lists this ribosomal RNA (1770 nucleotides) under Capsicum annuum. RNAcentral describes it as "SSU rRNA". It matches the Rfam family "Eukaryotic small subunit ribosomal RNA". The record is from RNAcentral. Lineage: Eukaryota; Viridiplantae; Streptophyta; Magnoliopsida; Solanales; Solanaceae.